This 429-nucleotide ribosomal RNA is filed under the name Gemmatimonadota bacterium. RNAcentral's name for it is "Gemmatimonadetes bacterium partial 16S ribosomal RNA". It matches the Rfam family "Bacterial small subunit ribosomal RNA", at positions 355 to 776 of the family's 1533-position model. Lineage: Bacteria; Pseudomonadati; Gemmatimonadota. The record is from RNAcentral.
UAGGGAAUCUUCGGCAAUGGACGAAAGUCUGACCGAGCAACGCCGCGUGAGUGAAGAAGGUUUUCGGAUCGUAAAACUCUGUUGUUAGAGAAGAACAAGGACGUUAGUAACUGAACGUCCCCUGACGGUAUCUAACCAGAAAGCCACGGCUAACUACGUGCCAGCAGCCGCGGUAAUACGUAGGUGGCAAGCGUUGUCCGGAUUUAUUGGGCGUAAAGCGAGCGCAGGCGGUUUCUUAAGUCUGAUGUGAAAGCCCCCGGCUAAACCGGGGAGGGUCAUUGGAAACUAGGAGACUUGAGUGCAGAAGAGGAGAGUGGAAUUCCAUGUGUAGCGGUGAAAUGCGUAGAUAUAUGGAGGAACACCAGUGGCGAAGGCGGCUCUCUGGUCUGUAACUGACGCUGAGGCUCGAAAGCGUGGGGAGCAAACAGG